RNAcentral lists this small RNA (547 nucleotides) under Pan troglodytes (chimpanzee). RNAcentral describes it as "retained intron". Lineage: Eukaryota; Metazoa; Chordata; Mammalia; Primates; Hominidae. The record is from RNAcentral.
CUCGCAGCUGCCGGAUUCGUGGAGUGUGGAGUUAACUCUUUUCUCUCCCGCAGGUGACCAUGCCUCGGACUCACUAUCUGGAGAGAACAGUCCAGCCCCGCAGGGGCGACCUGCGGAAGUCCAGGACUCUUCCGUGCCAGUUCCCGCCCAGCCCAAAGCGGGAGGCUCUGGCAGCUACUGGCCAGCUCGGCACUCAGGAGCCCGAGUGAUACUGCUGGUGCUCUACCGGGAGCACCUGAAUCCUAAUGGUCACCACUUCUUAACCAAGGAGGAGCUGCUGCAGAGGUGUGCUCAGAAGUCCCCCAGGGUAGCCCCUGGGAGUGCUCGACCCUGGCCAGCCCUCCGCUCCCUCCUUCACAGGAACCUGGUCCUCAGGACACACCAGCCAGCCAGGUACUCAUUGACUCCAGAGGGCCUGGAGCUGGCCCAGAAGUUGGCCGAGUCAGAAGGCCUGAGCUUGCUGAAUGUGGGCAUCGGGCCCAAGGAGCCCCCUGGGGAGGAGACAGCAGUGCCAGGAGCAGCUUCAGCAGAGCUUGCCAGUGAAGCA